GACAGCGUCGCUCUCAUUGGUAGUAUAAGCCUCCUUGCCAAACGGAGUGUGUGCUUUGCUCGCCCGCUCGCCGCUGCACCGACGCAAACCGGGGAUUUAAGGCUCCACGAUGAACCGGUGAAGUAAUCACAGUAACGCUGAAAACCAACAGGACGCGGAUACAUAUGAGCUCAAUGUGCUGGGAUCCACCAUAUGGCGCGGACCGCUUCACGGUUACAUUAUGGAAUAAUGGAGGACGUCUGUGCUGUCUGCUGCUUUGGACACUACAAACGGAGUCCUUUGCUCUGCUCACCUGCAAAAGCUGCCUGGGACGGUUAAUAAUUUUCCCUCAAAGCUUGUCUUAUGUGUAACCUCAGGUAAACGCAUGAAUACAGGCAGAUCUUUGCUAAAAGAAGAAGAAAAAAGAGCUUCUCCCCUCGUUUUCGGUCUGCAGGCCAGGGCGGCUGCAGAAUAAUAAGAUUACAGGCGCAAAAAGAGGUUUCUUCCAGUUGUCUCUUCUUCUUUUUUUUUUUUUUUCCUAAACAGAGUGCCAGCACUCGUAUGUUUCCGUGCAAACCUCUCUCCGAGCAGCGGGUUGCGUCUCUCCGUGUUCACAGCGGACCUUGAUUUAAUGUCUUACAAUUAAGGCACGCGGUGAAUGCCAAGAGAUGAUCCUCCUCUCUUCGAAAAGACAUCACGGACACCGUGAAAUCAUUGAACUGUAUUGUUUUAUUAGUUUAUAAUUUAUGUAUUGCCCGUGUGUGUGUGUGUGUGGUUUUUUUUAACAAUAAAGUGAUUGCAUAUGAGAAAGUUCUGGUUCCAUCUGAGCAUACAUGCUCCUAGUGUGUGUGCGUGCGUGUGUGUGUGUGUGUGUGUGUGUGUGUGUGUGUGUGUGUGUGUGUGUGUGUGUGUGUGUGUGUGUGUCCAAUAGGAGCAAUAGGAGCUUUCCAUCCCAGCACAGGCUGCCAGCAGCGCUGUCCACCUUCUGUGGUGCUGAAAUCUGCAGCCUUUUGUUUCAGUCGCCUGCAGCCGGCGUGGAAGCGGAAAUCAUGCAGUGCGGGAUUCAGACUGCGCAAAGCCCACACAUCGGCGUUCGUUCGCAUACCAAAUCAGAAUAACAAACUGCGCGAACACGAAGACAGCAGGGGUGAACACGUUCCAGCUCAAAUUUGUGAAAAAAUUCCCCAGAAUUUACGACGUAACUAUAAAUGCCGGUCGAUUCCGUUUCUUAGAAAUGUGAUUAUUUUUACGUCAUUUUUUUCAUAAUUUCCGCCCUGUAAUAUGUCCCUAAAAUUCAAGUGCCUCAAAGCAGUAAUGAUGUACAUACAGGGAGCAUACCUGAGCAGAGCUGCUCAAGACCAAUGUCACAUUAAAUUGAUAUUGAGAGGUCGGAAAACGUGCUUGCCUCGACUAAAUGUUCUCCCACAGCAGGCGGCCGGCAGAGAGCUGAACGUCACCCUGAGGAAAUAUAAUUCUGCAUGAGUUCGAGGACCAGAUUUGAAAAGUAGCGAAGACAUUUAAAAUGCAUCUAAUGUGUAACAGUUUCAAUUCGGAGUGACAGAAUCAAAUCAUUUCACGAGUCUGUGAAAUUUUGUCAUGUGAUGAGUGGAUGGAUGGAUGGAUGGAUGGAUGGAUGGAUGGAUGGAUGGAUGGAUGGAUGGAUGGAUGGAUGGAUGGAUGGAUGGAUGGAUGGAUGGAUGGAUGAGCCAUCCAUCCAUUCAUUUUCAAGAAGCUGUUCUCUUAAAAUGUGUUCAAAAUAAGCACUCACUUCUCCUUUUAUGUUCAAAAACACUUUAAAUUUAAGAUCAUUUCACCACCAAACAGGCUGGAAGAGAUGUGACAAAGAAACAGUUUGUUGUUGUGUCUCUGUAGGAAGUCAUAACCACCAUCUGCAUCUGCAUCAUUUCUUUAAACGGCAGUUGUUAGUGUAGCCAAAAAGAGCGCCUCCUAUGUUUGUCAUAUCAUGGUUAUUACACCUCGCUCCGUGUUGCAAACCCGAUUCAAAUCCAAACUCAACAGCAUGAGAGUCUGGCCUCUGCUGAUAGCAAGAAAAAAAAAUCUUUAAGUUGAAUGAAAUCCAUAAAGCUGCCAUCGAGCAUGUUCAUGGAUGUACUGCUCCCCCUGGAGAGCCGUCUGGGUCCAUCUCCUGUCUUCUUCUGGAGGCUCUCCUGCCCUCUUGUGGCAGAAAUCAGAACUAUUGUCAAACAUUCAGAUACAAAGUAGGUUAUUUUUGACAUAUAUCACAACAAAUGUCAUCUUACAAAUCAAAGACACUUUACAAGUCUAAAAGAACGAAUUAAUAUCACAUUUUAUAGAAAUAUAUAUAGCUAAAUUAAAAGUCCUACAUUUAAUAUUUUAUGUGGCAUUUAUUGUAACAAUAAUAGUGAUUGUUAUAUUUAUUUAGUUAAGCAUUUUUAGCUGAUUGUUGAGUGCUCUGUGCAGUUUUUUUCAUGUUUUAAUUUGUGCAGGGACACUUUAAGAUUGCAUAAAAAAUUAAAAUCUAAAAUCUGACAGACUGAAAAACAACAGUGCAACCUGGUUUGAUAGCGUGUCUGUUUUUUCUCUGUAAGAUAACCAUUUGUUUGUUUUUUACUUUGAAUACUUUAAUUCAAUUCUCAUGUCAUUGUGUAAUUAACAGCAAAUUAAUAAAAUUCAAAAUAAUCACAGAA
Poeciliopsis prolifica (blackstripe livebearer) is the source of this 2648-nucleotide long non-coding RNA. RefSeq lists it as uncharacterized. The transcript is spliced from 2 exons. The record is from RefSeq and is a predicted model, not a curated record. Lineage: Eukaryota; Metazoa; Chordata; Actinopteri; Cyprinodontiformes; Poeciliidae.